CCCCCACCCCACCCCACCCCCACCCCACCCGGGGCGGGCCGGGGCGCCUGCGCGGAAGAGCCUGAGGGGAAGGAUCCCGAAGCCACGGUGCCCGAGAUUAAGAACAAGUCGAGAGAGGUAAACGGCGAACUGGUUAGGGGCAGAAACCCAGUCUUCGGGUCCACCGCUGUAUCCCCAACAUCCCGCGUAUAGUACAUCUUCAACAGCUGCUGAACGAAGGUCAGGAGGAAAAAAGGAAUGCUGCCUGUGGCAUCUUCCCGUGUGGAAACAGAUGGCUUCCCAUCCCAAGCCCCCCUUCCGCUUCUCUGGCCAAUAUGGCCAGAAGUCUGCUUCACAUCCUUAGUCACUUCACACCCAUAAAUUCAAAUCUGACUUUAUGUUCUUCUGUAAACCUGCUCUUUUUCCAGUGAACGGUGCCACCGUUCAUCCUGUUGGUCCAACCAGAAAUCUGGGAUGGCCCUAUCUCCCUCAUUCCCCAGAGCCUCCGAUACACACUUCAUUGAGUUUACCUCCUAAUUGUCUCCCAAAUCCAUACAUUCUUCUCCAUCCCUAUUGGCACAAGCCAUACACUCACCUCUCAACAGGAUUCCUCCAAUAAUCUCCAAAUCAUUCUUCCUGUCUCCAGUGGUGAUGCUUGUAGUAUAGAAUUUUUAAAAUGUAUUCUGAUCUUGUAACCUAUCAAUGAUUAAAACCCGUCAAUGACUCGA
This is a long non-coding RNA of Canis lupus familiaris (dog), 707 nucleotides long. RefSeq lists it as uncharacterized. The record is from RefSeq and is a predicted model, not a curated record. NCBI's taxonomy places the organism in Eukaryota, Metazoa, Chordata, Mammalia, Carnivora, Canidae. The transcript has 2 exons.